Small nucleolar RNA from Engraulis encrasicolus (European anchovy), 137 nucleotides. RefSeq annotates it as small nucleolar RNA SNORA57. Lineage: Eukaryota; Metazoa; Chordata; Actinopteri; Clupeiformes; Engraulidae. The transcript has a single exon. The record is from RefSeq and is a predicted model, not a curated record.
CCUCCAUUUCUUGGCGCAGACUUGUUUCUUCCAUACGAGUGUGUGUAAUGUACGGAGGCAGAGGAGUGUCAGUGCUAUGUCUUCGGUACCAGUGUGUUUAUUGUCUGCUGGUUCUAUCCUCAAUCACUGCGACAUGA